UGUCAUACCUCCUGUCUGGUCGCGCGUCGGGAACAAAAUGAGUUGGCGUCAGUACUUUAUAAAUGCUGGAAUCGCAGUUAUCCAGACAUUCUUGAAUCCAAGUCAGCGCCUACUGGACGUGAACUGGGAACAACUUACCCCCAGACUAAUAAUUUUCUUCUCGAAAAAGUUUGUUUGUUGAUUGUGAAAAUGAAGUUUCAGUACGUGUGCUUAAUUUUUGGUAUAAUUGUGUGUUCAAUUGUAAUGUGCGAGGCGUUACCGUUUAGAGCGGGAAAUAUUGAUUAUAUGGAGGCAAUUCGUCGUAUGCAGCAGAUUCCACAAUGGCACUGCAUGAGGUACAGGAAAUUUCAGUUGCAUGGUCACUGCAACCGCUGGCUCCUCAUGAGACGUACCUGAUACUCUGUGUCUUCGCCCAGGCAAUGGAGAUCAUGAAAACGGUCCUAAGCGUAGAAAGAACCAUUUGAAUUUCGAAUUGUAUCUUGUAAUCGGAAUUAGUCAAGGAGAUUUUAUUACGAUUUAAAUAAUAUUUAUUUAUUGAAUUUAGAAUUAUAUUUUUAUCGUUAGUAUGUCUUAUAUAAUAAAGGAGAUUGGGCAAGAAUGUAUGAAGUUUGGUCCAAAUGUCCACCACGAACGAGACCUAUAUAAUUAAAUAGUCCACUGAAUUUAGAGUAACUUUUACUAAGAAAGUAAAAAAAAACGCCAAAAAAAAGUUAUAGCCUAAAAUGUAUUCUUAAUUUUCGAUAGUUUUUGUAUGUUAUCAUUAUUAUUUUUUAUUUUACUUCACUUCCAUUUCCACACUUUAUCUAAAACUAAGAUGAGUAAGACACAUUUACAUUAAAACAGCCCAUAUUUUUUUGCCCGAUGGAUGUACGAAUCACUAACCAAUUGAGGCGCCAGAAGUGCUUGAGUAUACUCAGCGGUUCCUGUAUCUAAGAAAGUUCGAUGUAACUGGUGGUGCCUUCUCUCUAAUAAUGAAUAAUUCUAUAUUGUCAGAAGUUACAGAAAGUACGAAAAUCGAACAUAACGAAAAGUAAUUGAAAAAAUGAAAUUGAAGAAAUCUAUAAAAUGUUUUAUUUAAUUUUGCUAUAACUUUUUUUCUGGCAUUAUAUUUUUUUUUACUUUCAUAACAAAAAAUGUUCUAUAUUUAACGGGCUAUCUAGUCUCGUUCGUGGUGGACGUUUGGACCGGAAUCGCCCAUUGUCAUUUAAGAUAGGUACGAGUAUAUUUUGUAGAUUUGGAAAUUUUUUUAUGUAAAAAAAACUCUCUUGGUUUGUUUUUAUUUAGAAUUAUUGACUGACUUUAGGGACCUUCUUAAUUUCUUAGCGUUCUUGCAUAUUUAAAUAAAAUAUUAUGGAAAUAAGUUAUUUAAACUAGAUCUAGGAAUUUUACAAUUUAAACGAAUUCAAAGUGUAUUUUGAAAUGGAAUUCGCAAAAAGAUUUGCAAUUUAAAAAUUUUAAUUGAUUGUUUCAUAAUUAUAUUUUAUUUAAUGAGAUAAAAUUAGAUGCUUGUUAUCUCACCAAAGAUUUAAUGUGAGAGUAAUUUAAAUUAUCUGUAUCUAAAAAAUAUCAUCUGAUCUAAAAGUAAGCAAAUGCAUAGAUAUAUUCGUUUUGUUAUCAAAUGAGCCAUAAAUUGUUGUCUGUUCAAUCUUUUUUUGAAUUGAAUCUCUAUUCUUCAUUUAGUUGCAGAUCUAAUCAUAACUUGUGUAUGUUAUCAAAAUAGCUGUCUUUUGUUACAGCUGAGUUAAUUUCAUCACACUGUAGCCAAAAAUAGUUAUAAAAUAUUCGCACCAUUCUAUUCUGUGUAUGUUACGUCAGAGUUCAAAGUCUAGCUUUACGAUCACCGAUGACCGUUGCACCAUCGAUCCACCUGACCCAUGUAAUCUUAACCUUACUUACGUAAAAAAUGUUUCUUUUUUUUUUUAUUUUAGUUUUGUUUUUUCAGUAGAUAAGUUAUUUAGACAUGUAGUGUUUAUCCCAUUGGAUCCUAAAGAAUAUCCUACUUUCACUAGAUAUGAACAAUCGUUAACCUUUCGCAUCGUUACAAUUAAUUGGGAAAUAAUUAUAUGGACCAGUCUUACCUUCCUUACUUCCCUAAUAUUCAAAUUCAAUUCACCUUUACCCUUUUUUUGCCGGACUCAUAUUGAACACAUUCCAUCAAUCAUCAUCCAUAGUCCUCUUCAACUACACAUUAGUCACAAAAGUGAUAAAAAUAAAUAAAUCACAACUAUGCGCAUUUGUCACGCUUACGAAGUAUUUUUCUGUUUUUGCAACUGCCAAUUUCGUGGGAAAGUAUGUGAUUUUUAAGACCUAGUUAAGGCAGUUCCAGAAUCAUCAUACAUUACUCAUUCGCAUCUCGUCAUGUUACGUCAGAGAUCAAAGUCUAGCUCACGAUUAGCAAUGACCGUUGCACCAUCGUCACACGCAACCGGUGCGAUCCCAACCUUACUUGUUUAAGUACUUACUUAUAUUUGAACUUAUCAGUAUUAAUAAUUUUACGGUUAUAUCACAAAUUUUGCAAUUUCUAAUGUUAUUUCAUAAUUAUAAUCUUAGCAGAAUAAAAACAUUCAUAGAAAUGUAGAUUAUAAUUCUGUUAUUACAAUAAAGUUAUUGGUAGUAA
Long non-coding RNA from Helicoverpa armigera (cotton bollworm), 2617 nucleotides. RefSeq lists it as uncharacterized. Lineage: Eukaryota; Metazoa; Arthropoda; Insecta; Lepidoptera; Noctuidae. The transcript is spliced from 2 exons. The record is from RefSeq and is a predicted model, not a curated record.